GGUUAAGCGACUAAGCGUACACGGUGGAUGCCCUGGCAGUCAGAGGCGAUGAAGGACGUGCUAAUCUGCGAUAAGCGCCGGUAAGGUGAUAUGAACCGUUAUAACCGGCGAUUUCCGAAUGGGGAAACCCAGUGUGAUUCGUCACACUAUCAUUAACUGAAUCCAUAGGUUAAUGAGGCGAACCGGGGGAACUGAAACAUCUAAGUACCCCGAGGAAAAGAAAUCAACCGAGAUUCCCCCAGUAGCGGCGAGCGAACGGGGAGGAGCCCAGAGCCUGAAUCAGCAUGUGUGUUAGUGGAAGCGUCUGGAAAGGCGCGCGAUACAGGGUGACAGCCCCGUACACAAAAGCGCAUGUGCUGUGAGCUCGAUGAGUAGGGCGGGACACGUGGUAUCCUGUCUGAAUAUGGGGGGACCAUCCUCCAAGGCUAAAUACUCCUGACUGACCGAUAGUGAACCAGUACCGUGAGGGAAAGGCGAAAAGAACCCCGGCGAGGGGAGUGAAAAAGAACCUGAAACCGUGUACGUACAAGCAGUGGGAGCACAGGUUUACCUGUGUGACUGCGUACCUUUUGUAUAAUGGGUCAGCGACUUAUAUUCUGUAGCAAGGUUAACCGUAUAGGGGAGCCGUAGGGAAACCGAGUCUUAACCGGGCGUUAAGUUGCAGGGUAUAGACCCGAAACCCGGUGAUCUAGCCAUGGGCAGGUUGAAGGUUGGGUAACACUAACUGGAGGACCGAACCGACUAAUGUUGAAAAAUUAGCGGAUGACCUGUGGCUGGGGGUGAAAGGCCAAUCAAACCGGGAGAUAGCUGGUUCUCCCCGAAAGCUAUUUAGGUAGCGCCUCGUGAAUUCAUCUCCGGGGGUAGAGCACUGUUUCGGCUAGGGGGCCAUCCCGGCUUACCAACCCGAUGCAAACUGCGAAUACCGGAGAAUGUUAUCACGGGAGACACACGGCGGGUGCUAACGUCCGUCGUGAAGAGGGAAACAACCCAGACCGCCAGCUAAGGUCCCAAAGUCAUGGUUAAGUGGGAAACGAUGUGGGAAGGCCCAGACAGCCAGGAUGUUGGCUUAGAAGCAGCCAUCAUUUAAAGAAAGCGUAAUAGCUCACUGGUCGAGUCGGCCUGCGCGGAAGAUGUAACGGGGCUAAACCAUGCACCGAAGCUGCGGCAGCGAACGUAUCACCCAAGACAACUUUACGGAGUUGACGAUUGACGGAGCGAAGCGACGUCAAAGCGUUCAUUAAAGUCGAGUUGGCUUAGGGAUACGUUCGUUGGGUAGGGGAGCGUUCUGUAAGCCUGUGAAGGUGUGUCGUGAGGCAUGCUGGAGGUAUCAGAAGUGCGAAUGCUGACAUAAGUAACGAUAAAGCGGGUGAAAAGCCCGCUCGCCGGAAGACCAAGGGUUCCUGUCCAACGUUAAUCGGGGCAGGGUGAGUCGACCCCUAAGGCGAGGCCGAAAGGCGUAGUCGAUGGGAAACGGGUUAAUAUUCCCGUACUUGGUGUUACUGCGAAGGGGGGACGGAGAAGGCUAUGUUGGCCGGGCGACGGUUGUCCCGGUUUAAGCGUGUAGGUGUGUGUUCCAGGUAAAUCCGGUUCACUUUAACACUGAGGCGUGACGACGAGGCACUACGGUGCUGAAGCAACAAAUGCCCUGCUUCCAGGAAAAGCCUCUAAGCAUCAGGUAACAUCAAAUCGUACCCCAAACCGACACAGGUGGUCAGGUAGAGAAUACCAAGGCGCUUGAGAGAACUCGGGUGAAGGAACUAGGCAAAAUGGUGCCGUAACUUCGGGAGAAGGCACGCUGACACGUAGGUGAAAUGAUUUACUCAUGGAGCUGAAGUCAGUCGAAGAUACCAGCUGGCUGCAACUGUUUAUUAAAAACACAGCACUGUGCAAACACGAAAGUGGACGUAUACGGUGUGACGCCUGCCCGGUGCCGGAAGGUUAAUUGAUGGGGUCAGCGUAAGCGAAGCUCCUGAUCGAAGCCCCGGUAAACGGCGGCCGUAACUAUAACGGUCCUAAGGUAGCGAAAUUCCUUGUCGGGUAAGUUCCGACCUGCACGAAUGGCGUAAUGAUGGCCAGGCUGUCUCCACCCGAGACUCAGUGAAAUUGAACUCGCUGUGAAGAUGCAGUGUACCCGCGGCAAGACGGAAAGACCCCGUGAACCUUUACUAUAGCUUGACACUGAACAUUGAGCCUUGAUGUGUAGGAUAGGUGGGAGGCUUUGAAGUGUGGACGCCAGUCUGCAUGGAGCCGACCUUGAAAUACCACCCUUUAAUGUUUGAUGUUCUAACGUGGACCCGUAAUCCGGGUUGCGGACAGUGUCUGGUGGGUAGUUUGACUGGGGCGGUCUCCUCCUAAAGAGUAACGGAGGAGCACGAAGGUUGGCUAAUCCUGGUCGGACAUCAGGAGGUUAGUGCAAUGGCAUAAGCCAGCUUGACUGCGAGCGUGACGGCGCGAGCAGGUGCGAAAGCAGGUCAUAGUGAUCCGGUGGUUCUGAAUGGAAGGGCCAUCGCUCAACGGAUAAAAGGUACUCCGGGGAUAACAGGCUGAUACCGCCCAAGAGUUCAUAUCGACGGCGGUGUUUGGCACCUCGAUGUCGGCUCAUCACAUCCUGGGGCUGAAGUAGGUCCCAAGGGUAUGGCUGUUCGCCAUUUAAAGUGGUACGCGAGCUGGGUUUAGAACGUCGUGAGACAGUUCGGUCCCUAUCUGCCGUGGGCGCUGGAGAACUGAGGGGGGCUGCUCCUAGUACGAGAGGACCGGAGUGGACGCAUCACUGGUGUUCGGGUUGUCAUGCCAAUGGCACUGCCCGGUAGCUAAAUGCGGAAGAGAUAAGUGCUGAAAGCAUCUAAGCACGAAACUUGCCCCGAGAUGAGUUCUCCCUGAGACUUAGAGUCUCCUGAAGGAACGUUGAAGACGACGACGUUGAUAGGCCGGGUGUGUAAGCGCAGCGAUGCGUUGAGCUAACCGGUACUAAUGAACCGUGAGGCUUAACCUU
Molecule: ribosomal RNA, 2992 nt
Filed under: Salmonella enterica subsp. enterica serovar Typhimurium
Lineage: Bacteria; Pseudomonadati; Pseudomonadota; Gammaproteobacteria; Enterobacterales; Enterobacteriaceae
Description: 23S ribosomal RNA
Rfam family: Bacterial large subunit ribosomal RNA
Source: RNAcentral